UACGUAAGGAUCGAGCGUUGUCCGGAAUCAUUGGGCGUAAAGGGUACGUAGGCGGGUUUUAAAGUUAGAAGUCAAAGGCUAUAGCUCAACUAUAGUAAGCAUCUAAAACCGGAAACCUUGAGUGAUGGAAGGGAAAGUGGAAUUCCUGGUGUAGCGGUGGAAUGCGCAGAUAUUAGGAGGAAUACCGGUGGCGAAGGCGACUUUCUGGACAUUAUCUGACGCUGAGGUACGAAAGCGUGGGUAGCAAACAGG
Molecule: ribosomal RNA, 252 nt
Filed under: uncultured bacterium
Lineage: Bacteria
Description: partial 16S ribosomal RNA
Rfam family: Bacterial small subunit ribosomal RNA
Source: RNAcentral